RNAcentral lists this transfer RNA (74 nucleotides) under Candidatus Ryanbacteria bacterium RIFCSPHIGHO2_01_FULL_48_27. Its description in RNAcentral is "tRNA-Gln". It matches the Rfam family "tRNA". Rfam says of the family: Transfer RNA (tRNA) molecules are approximately 80 nucleotides in length. Their secondary structure includes four short double-helical elements and three loops (D, anti-codon, and T loops). RNAcentral also lists the same sequence under 1 other name. Lineage: Bacteria; Candidatus Ryaniibacteriota. The record is from RNAcentral.
UGCCGGUUCGUCUAAUGGUAGGACACCGCCCUUUGGAGGCGGGUAUUGGGGUUCGAGUCCCUGACCGGCAGCAA